UCAAGAUGAAAUACUUUUUAUUUGCUCAUGUAAUGCCAGUUGCCAUAUUUUUCUGUAUGUCACUCAUUCGCUUAUACAAAAAGUACCAAUUUGUACACUAGUCUAGUGUAUUUUUUCCCUCUAUCUCUCUAUGUCUCUCACAUACAGAGACUAACACACAGACAUGUAUAUACUCAUUAUUGCUGUACAAACUGAUGGUCAAAUUUCCAAGCACCACCUGAACGCCUCAUCUGUUUUCAUCCCAUCACUGGACCAACUGUCGUCAUUCCGCUUUGCUCUCUGCUGUGGAACUUGACUCACAUCUGUGCUUUGCCUGUGUGCAGAAGAAGAACAAGGACCAGAUCUCCAGUCUUCUCUCUCACAUCCCAACCCCCCAAUCCCUCUAUCCUCUGUCCUGCUCCACCUGUUGUCUCUGCCUUCUUUCCAUCUGUAUUUCACCCUGUGGUUUGUGAGAAAUUUUGCCAAACCAAGAAUCUUAUUGCGGUUUGAUUUCAAAGCCGUGUCUUUCCUGCUCUGUCUGUUCUCUCUGCUAAAUUUUCUCUCUACCUGUUUUUCACUCUUUGGCUUGCUGCUGAAAAAUGCACAAGCCAAUAAAGCAAUAAAGAGUGCAUAUUUUGCCUCAACCUAUGAACAAACUGAACAAACAAAGAAAACUCUAAUUCACGGUUUGAUUGUGAUUUGCCAGCCGUGUCUUUCCUGCUCUGUCUGUUCUUUCUGCUAAAUUUUCUCUCUACCUGUUUUUCACUCUUGGCUUGCUGCUGAAAAAUGCCAAGCCAUUAAAGCAAUAAAGAGUGCAUAUAUUGCCUCUACCUGAGAACAAACUGAACAAACAAAGAAAACUCUAAUUCACGGUUUGAUUGUGAUUUCCCAGCCGUGUCUCUCCUGCUCUGCCUGUUCUCUCUUCUAGAUUUUCUCUCUACCUGUUUUUCAUUCUGGGCUUGCUGCUAAGUUGUGCCAAGCCAAUAAAGAGAGUGCAUAAUAUUCUCUCGACUGAAGAACAAACUGUCAAACAAACACAACUGUUUCAGACAAAUAAAAACUGAAAUAUAAAAACAAA
Oreochromis aureus is the source of this 1057-nucleotide long non-coding RNA. RefSeq lists it as uncharacterized. The record is from RefSeq and is a predicted model, not a curated record. The transcript has 3 exons. Lineage: Eukaryota; Metazoa; Chordata; Actinopteri; Cichliformes; Cichlidae.